UAGGGAAUCUUCCGCAAUGGGCGAAAGCCUGACGGAGCAACGCCGCGUGAGUGAUGAAGGUCUUCGGAUCGUAAAACUCUGUUGUUAGGGAAGAACAAAUGUGUAAGUAACUAUGCACGUCUUGACGGUACCUAAUCAGAAAGCCACGGCUAACUACGUGCCAGCAGCCGCGGUAAUACGUAGGUGGCAAGCGUUAUCCGGAAUUAUUGGGCGUAAAGCGCGCGUAGGCGGUUUUUUAAGUCUGAUGUGAAAGCCCACGGCUCAACCGUGGAGGGUCAGUGGAAACUGGAAAACUUGAGUGCAGAAGAGGAAAGUGGAAUUCCAUGUGUAGCGGUGAAAUGCGCAGAGAUAUGGAGGAACACCAGUGGCGAAGGCGACUUUCUGGUCUGUAACUGACGCUGAUGUGCGAAAGCGUGGGGAUCAAACAGG
RNAcentral lists this ribosomal RNA (429 nucleotides) under Actinomycetes bacterium. RNAcentral's name for it is "Actinobacteria bacterium partial 16S ribosomal RNA". It matches the Rfam family "Bacterial small subunit ribosomal RNA", at positions 355 to 776 of the family's 1533-position model. Lineage: Bacteria; Bacillati; Actinomycetota; Actinomycetes. The record is from RNAcentral.